Molecule: unclassified non-coding RNA, 276 nt
Filed under: Hevea brasiliensis (rubber tree)
Lineage: Eukaryota; Viridiplantae; Streptophyta; Magnoliopsida; Malpighiales; Euphorbiaceae
Source: RNAcentral
CCCUGUCCAGCAGCGUUCCAUUCAAGCUCUGAUCCAGAGUUGUCCUUUGUAAUUUGCUCAACUCUUGAAAUAGAGAAAAGCAGAGGAUCGUCAUCUUGUACCAACAACUCCUCCACGGGAAACAUCAGAGUAAUCACUCUUUAGAUUCAGCAACAGUUCCAGAAUCAUAGCCAACACCUAUAUAUCCUUUCUUUAACACCCUCUCACAUUGCUUAUGGCUCACUGUCUUCUCACCUUCAAAAUUAUCAUCAUAAGGACACUUGGGUGAUUUUAUUC